UAGUACUACGGGGGGCAGCAGUGGGGAAUAUUGGGCAAUGGGCGCAAGCCUGACCCAGCAACGCCGCGUGAAGGAAGAAGGCUUUCGGGUUGUAAACUUCUUUUCUGAGGGACGAUAGUGACGGUACAUCAGGAAUAAGCCACGGCUAACUACGUGCCAGCAGCCGCGGUAAUACGUAGGUGGCAAGCGUUAUCCGGAUUUACUGGGUGUAAAGGGCGUGUAGGCGGGAUGGUAAGUUAGAUGUGAAAACUAUGGGCUCAACACAUAGCCUGCAUUUGAAACUAUCGCUAUUGAGUGUUGGAGAG
RNAcentral lists this ribosomal RNA (305 nucleotides) under uncultured bacterium. RNAcentral's name for it is "bacterial SSU rRNA". It matches the Rfam family "Bacterial small subunit ribosomal RNA", at positions 334 to 656 of the family's 1533-position model. The record is from RNAcentral.